CCGAAACAAUCAGACAUACUUGAGGUGAGAGAUCCGGCUCAGGCAUAUUGCAGAUGAUCAGAGAUCGGGCUCAGGCACACUUGAGGUGAGCAGAGAUCGGGCUCAGUCACACUUGAGGUGAGCAGAGAUCCCGCUCAGUCACACUUGAGGUGAGCAGAGAUCCCGCUCAGUCACACUUGAGGUGAGCAGAGAUCCCGCUCAGUCACACUUGAGGUGAGCAGAGAUCCCGCUCAGUCACACUUGAGGUGAGCAGAGAUCCGGCUCAGGCAGACUUGAGGUGAGCAGAGAGUGGGCUCAGGCACACUUGAGGUGAGCAGAGAUCGGGCUCAGGCAGACUUGAGGUGAGCAGAGAUUGGGCUCAGGCAUACUUGAGGUGAGCAGAGAUUGGGCUCAGGCACACUUGAGGUGAGCAGAGAUUGGGCUCAGUCACACUUGAGGUGAGCAGAGAUCCAGCUCAGUCACACUUGAGGUGAGCAGAGAUCCCGCUCAGUCACACUUGAGGUGAGCAGAGAUCGGGCUCAGGCACACUUGAGGUGAGCAGAGAUUGGGCUCAGGCACACUUGAGGUGAGCAGAGAUCGGGCUCAGGCAGACUUGAGGUGAGCAGAGAUUGGGCUCAGGCACACUUGAGGUGAGCAGAGAUCCAGCUCAGGCAGACUUGAGGUGAGCAGAGAUCGGGCUCAGGCACACUUGAGGUGAGCAGAGAUCGGGCUCAUGCACACUUGAGGUGAGCAGAGAUUGGGCUCAGGCACACUUGAGGUGAGCAGAGAUCGGGCUCAGGCACACUUGAGGUGAGCAGAGAUCGGGCUCAGGCACACUUGAGGUGAGCAGAGAUCGGGCUCAUGGACACUUGAGGUGAGCAGAGAUCCGGCUCAGGCACACUUGAGGU
RNAcentral lists this long non-coding RNA (887 nucleotides) under Haliotis rubra (blacklip abalone). RNAcentral's name for it is "uncharacterized LOC124260890, transcript variant X1". The record is from RNAcentral. Lineage: Eukaryota; Metazoa; Mollusca; Gastropoda; Lepetellida; Haliotidae.